Molecule: transfer RNA, 76 nt
Filed under: Streptomyces viridosporus
Lineage: Bacteria; Bacillati; Actinomycetota; Actinomycetes; Kitasatosporales; Streptomycetaceae
Also listed under: 1 other name
Rfam family: tRNA
About the family: Transfer RNA (tRNA) molecules are approximately 80 nucleotides in length. Their secondary structure includes four short double-helical elements and three loops (D, anti-codon, and T loops).
Source: RNAcentral
GCGGGUAGCUCACUGGGUAUAGAGCGGCCGGGGUCAUACCCGGCAUGGACGCCGGUUCGACUCCGGCCCCGCACCA